AGAAACUCAACCAAAUGGUAAGAGUGAAGCACGCUGCAAAAAGAGCGGAGUCAGCAAGGUCCCUACUCAACUUCGGGGGCUGUAGCCCGCUAAGCCCACUGUCGGCACAUGCUGACGGUAUCGGGUCACAGUCCUCUCAACAAGAAGAAGCUGAAGUGGAAGAA
Molecule: non-coding RNA, 164 nt
Filed under: Palpitomonas bilix
Lineage: Eukaryota
Source: RNAcentral